Molecule: long non-coding RNA, 1113 nt
Filed under: Marmota monax (woodchuck)
Lineage: Eukaryota; Metazoa; Chordata; Mammalia; Rodentia; Sciuridae
Rfam family: tRNA (bases 1000-1068)
Source: RNAcentral
CUACUCCCCUCUCCUCCCAACCCGCCCUUCUCCCCUCUCCUCCCCUCUCUUGCGCCCGCGACCAUUUAAAGGAUUCCGAGCGGUCAUGGGCAGAACUGCAUCGCUAGGGUCCAGGACCGAGGGUAGUGGAGAGCAGUCAAAGCCGCUCCCUUCAAUUUAGCUACGGUCUUUGUACCAAGAUCGUCAGUAUUGCUGUCUACGGUCCCUUUAUACCAGGCCGGGACCCUGUUGCCGAGUUAGACCGGUAGGCACCCGCCCCCCUCCCUGCUUUUCAGGCGGGCGGGGCUGAGCACUGGCAGAGGCCCCGCCCUGGGUGUUCCUAAGGCUGGCACUGUAGCGGAGGUGGGGGGGGGGCGGAUGAUGUAGCUAAACGCUAGCCAAUGGUUUUGCGCGGCCUGUGUUGCCUGGGCGACCACGGCCCCGCCCCCUCGCUGCCUGGGUCCUCCCUCCCUGCCUGACACUGUAAGAAGUUGCAGCCCUUUCUUAAUCCCGCACACUUCUCAGCACGGCCUCUGGUGGUCCCCCGUGGAAUCCCUCUGGCACUCCAUUCUUCGUCUCAGGAUGGCCCCUCUGCUGCUGGAAGCUUUUCAUGGCUUCCCACAGCCUUGAAAAUUCCAGAUUCCUUAAGCUUUUGCCUCAAAGCCCUUCACGAUCUGGCCUGUGAGCCUCUCCCCCACGCUAGAGACAUCACUUUCAGUUUUUCUAAAACUUUCACUUUCAGUUUUUCUAAAAUGGCUCCAGUCUUCCCUCAGCACGAAUUAAGGGAUUUUGUCCGCUUUCUUCGCUGCUUUAUCUUCAGUACCAGCAACAUGACAGUUCCAUAGCACGCACUCAAAAAUGAGAAUGGGUGACUGGGGUUGUGGCUUAGUGGUAGAGUGCUUGCCGCGCAUGCGUGAGGCACUGGGUUCCAUCCCCGGCACCACAUAAAAAUAAAAACAAGUUAAAUAAAGGCAUUGUAUCCACCUACAACUUAAAAUUAAAAAAGAGAAAGAGAGGGCUGGGGUUGUGGCUCAGCGGUAGAGCUCUCACCUAGCAUGCGUGAGGCCCUGGGUUCGAUCCUCAGCGCCAGUAAAUAAAAUAAAAUAAAGGUACUGUGUCCAACUACAACUAAAA